CAGUUUCCUUCCAGAACAAACAGCAGCUACGUAUUGUAGCUCCAUCCAGCUGGAGGGGGUACUCUGUGAUUUGCUUAGGCUCAGUGUGCUGGUAUUUUUCUACACCUCCCUGAGCUUUUAAUUAGAUGAGCCAAUUUUACAUGUAUUUGUCUGCUGGAAAGGUUAUCUGUGCUGGAGCUGACCUGCAGAGACAAGGUUGAGCCUAGCGGUCUUAAUAGAAAAGGUUUUCAGCUAUGACUGCCGUACUUGAUUGCAUUGUAAUGGUAAUUAACUUGAGACUUGGCCUCCCUCAAUGUUUUUUUGUAGCUUUAACUAUGCAAUGAGAUGUUUCCUCUGUCAUAUAUAUGCACUUAUUAAGCUCUCAUUGGAUUCUAAUAUGCAUGCAAAUAGUCAAGAGUUUCUUAAGGCUAAUACUACACUAUGUAGAUUGUAGUGCCAUUAAGUCACUACAAAGAUGUAGCCCGCAGCAAACUUAUAAGGCUCCUCUUCCUGUGAGUGUAGGCGAGGCUUGAUUUCUCUUUUUUGUGCUUUGCUUAAACCUAAAGGAGGAAGAAUUCCCUCUACGUAGUUUCGUUGCCUUUUAACCUGAAGGAUGCUUCGCACGACAGCAAGCUUUAAGGCUUCAUUCUUACAGAACCAUCCUAAAAGCGCUCUUGUGCUCUACAAGGAAGAUUGCAACGUUCUCAAUUCCAAGUCGGAACCAGUUGAGUGCAGCUACUUUCAUAAGAGGAAGCACAGGGGGAAAAAGAAAGCAAGCAAGUAGUGUACCUCCACCAGGGAGCACGGUGGAGGCAGAGGGCUUGUAGGAGACCCGUCAUGAAGCUUGACUCCUUCUGCUCACACAGGUUUGGCAUUUAAGCUAAUUUGUAAGCAUUUAGGGCCUGACUCUGAUCUCCCUUUCACCGCUCACUGGAGCUGUCAAAGCACUUCCCAGCAGAAGUAAGGAAGGGAACCUGCCAGCUGGAUUUGUCCCUUUCUCCACUCUUUUGUCCUGGUGGAUUUGGGCUUAAGUAAUUCUGAUAAAACAAGGACCCCCAUGUCCUAGCAUGGGUUGUGUUGCUGAUAGUGGAGCAUCUUCAGGGAUGUAGAAUCCUUCCAGAUGGGAUGCCCUCCUCAAGGCUGACAUAUAGGGGAGGGUUUACACACUUUACUUUUCUACCUGUAGGGCUCAGCUCAAGGCUUGUGGAUACCAAUGAGUCCAUUCUAUCUCCCUAGGGGACACCAGCCCAAAUCCUAGUCAAUGAGGCCUAUUCCAAUAGCCAACGAGGCCUACUCCAGUGAGUCUCAGGCUUGAGACUUGCACAGCUCUGCUGAGGACCUCGUUUUUCCAUGGGUGGCCAUGGCACAUCUGUUAAUGGCAACUUGAACACGUCCACAGCAGUUAAGCAGUUUCACCUUCAGGCUCAGACGUUGGUGUUCAAAGACUUUGUUCUUAUUCCGAUGACUGAUAGAGGACCUCUGUUUGGGUUGAUGCUGUAGUCUUUUAAGUACGCUUUCCAGAAAGCUGUAAAUCUCUAUUUUGAGAGCAGAGCAGAGAUCCUUCUGUUGAACCCAUCGUAUAUAUUCAAGAAGACAACACUUUGGUGGACAUCAACACAUUGGUAAGCAUCAAUGAGGAAAGCCUCAAUGAUUUUUCUAUAGUUCUUCCAAGUUUGAAGCCAUUUGAUGAUCUGCUUGCUGCAUCUUUUUCUUCUUAAGUGAUUUUUAUAGCAGAAUAUAACUCAGGAGAAAAAUAUACUUCCUGGGAAAUAUAUUCUUCCUGUUAUGCCACUUUCUUUAAUCAGAAUUAAAUUAAAAGAUCAACACUUCCAUGGAAAUUAAUUCUUGAAAUACUUUCUGGACACUAAAGAGGGGGAAACAAACGUUAAUAACAGAAAUGUGUGAUUCCUGUGAGAGGAGUGUGGAUGCAGCAGAGAAUGUGAUUCUACUUCAGCCCUGGAAAGCUGCAGAAAUCAAUGCUUCAUUCAAGGCUAUUGAUCAGUACUAAAUUAAUUAGACUUCAAGGCUUAUGGCAGUUGAUAAGACAACUUGUUAAUUUAGUCAAUGAUAGUGUUUUCCCUAAAGCAGCAAAUACCCUCUUUCUCAGAAAAGACAUUUCCAGCACUUGCUACCCAAUGUUUUUCCCCCUUUUUUUUUUUUUUUUUUUUUUAAUUUAAAAAAAAAAUUCACUUUACAUUUAAAUUAAGAUAAGGAUUGGAUGGGGAGAUGCUUCCAUCUACCCCCAUUUGCCUUCCUUUGCUCUAAUGUUGGAGCGGGAUGUUGAUAACAUCUGAUGUAAUUUAAUAGGAUGGCAGCAUAACAUUUAGCUUCUUCGACCCCGGCCCAUUGACGGCGAGGUUCAUUUGGGAAAGCUGCUGGGGGAGGAGGAGGAGGGAGCAGACCCACUUUCUAACUACGUUUUUUAAAUGGCAAACCCAGAGUUCCUGCUUCCCAGGCAAGGAGGAUGCUUGUGGCAGCUGACAAAGGCAUGGGCAGUGCUGGUGCUGCAAGCCAUGAAUGAGACGAAGGUAUCCCAGAAUACCCCGGACAUCGGGCUGUACUUCCUGCUGGCUGGGAAGGACAAAAGGACAAAGCUGAAGGAGUGCCGGGGUCCCACCACCAGCUCUUGGAGGCACCAGUCUGCUACCAACAGCACUCCAACCCUCGGAGAAUGCUAAUAAGCCACUGAAGAGCUCAGCUUUCCUGCCAUAAUUCUAUAGCGCCGUCGAGGACCCCAUAGUGUUCGCUAAAUAAAGACAACUAAUUGAGAAUUUUUUGCA
Molecule: long non-coding RNA, 2759 nt
Organism: Tympanuchus pallidicinctus (lesser prairie-chicken)
Lineage: Eukaryota; Metazoa; Chordata; Aves; Galliformes; Phasianidae
Exons: 2
Source: RefSeq, a predicted model, not a curated record